GAUCUGCUCUGUCGUUAUUGGUCAGUUGCUCAGAACGCUUCUCGGAAAUUUCACGCCCCUUUUACCAUAUUGGGAAGUCUGCAGCUCCGGCUUCGAGGGCAGCAAAAACACCGUGAGACCCGGAGUCUGAAACCGAAGGAGAGGAUGAACAACCAUCACAACCUUUGCCACGACGGCUGGAGCAGGACGUUUCAGUGUGCAAAAUGCCUACAGAAGCAGAAAAGGUGUGCUGCAGAGAAAUACCACAGGUCAUUUUUACAAGGUAAAUACUAUAACUUACAACCAGGACAUCACAACAGACACACACAAAGCAUGUUAUGUUUGCAUCAUGUCUUUUCAUCAUAAAAACAUUCAACGUUAUUGUUUUGAAAAAUGCGUUAGCCUCUUCUAAUUUCAGUGACUAGAACUACCAACAUAUUUCCCC
This is a non-coding RNA of Labrus bergylta (ballan wrasse), 424 nucleotides long. The record is from RefSeq and is a predicted model, not a curated record. NCBI's taxonomy places the organism in Eukaryota, Metazoa, Chordata, Actinopteri, Labriformes, Labridae.